UGAGUACGAGCUGCUACGGCAGCGAAGUGGGUGAUGUCAAGCUUCCAAGAAAAGCCCUAUACCCGUUAAGGCAUGACGGCCUGUACCCGAAACCGACACAGGUGGGGUGGUAGAGAAUACCGAGGGGCGCGAGAUAACUCUCUCUAAGGAACUCGGCAAAAUGGCCCCGUAACUUCGGGAGAAGGGGUGCCACCGCAAGGUGGUCGCGGUGAAGAGGCCCAGGCGACUGUUUACCAAAAACACAGGUCUCCGCUAAGUCGCAAGACGAUGUAUGGGGGCUGACGCCUGCCCAGUGCCGGAAGGUUAAGGAAGCUGGUCAGCGCAAGCGAAGCUAGCGACUGAAGCCCCGGUGAACGGCGGCCGUAACUAUAACGGUCCUAAGGUAGCGAAAUUCCUUGUCGGGUAAGUUCCGACCCGCACGAAAGGCGUAACGAUCUGGGCGCUGUCUCGGAGAGAGGCUCGGCGAAAUAGAAUUGUCUGUGAAGAUGAGGACUACGUGCACCCGGACAGAAAGACCCUAUGAAGCUUUACUGUAGCUUGGUAUUGUGCCCGGGCUCUGAAUGCGCAGGAUAGGUGGGAGGCUUUGAUCCAUUGCUUGUGGGUAAUGGUGAGCCACUGGUGAGAUACCACUCUUUCAGAGCUAGGGUUCUAACGGUCACCCGUUAUCCGGGGACCGGACAGUAUCAGGUGGGCAGUUUGACUGGGGCGGUCGCCUCCUAAAUGGUAACGGAGGCGCGCAAAGGUUCCCUCAGGCUGGUUGGAAAUCAGCCGACGAGUGUAAAGGCAGAAGGGAGCUUGACUGUGAGACCUACAAGUCGAACAGGGACGAAAGUCGGCCUUAGUGAUCCGACGGUUCUGAGUGGAAGGGCCGUCGCUCAACGGAUAAAAGUUACUCUAGGGAUAACAGGCUGAUCUCCCCCAAGAGUUCACAUCGACGGGGAGGUUUGGCACCUCGAUGUCGGCUCAUCGCAACCUGGGGCUGAAGUCGGUCCCAAGGGUUGGGCUGUUCGCCCAUUAAAGCGGUACGCGAGCUGGGUUCAGAACGUCGUGAGACAGUUCGGUCCAUAUCCGGUGCACGCGCAGGAACAUUGAGAGGAUUUCUCCCUAGUACGAGAGGACCGGGAGGAACGCACCUCUGGUGUACCAGUUAUCGUGCCAACGGUAAACGCUGGGUAGCCAUGUGCGGAGCGGAUAACCGCUGAAAGCAUCUAAGUGGGAAGCCCACCUCAAGAUGAGUGUUCCCAUGGCAUAAGCCAGUAAGGUCACGGGAAGAACACCCGUUGAUAGGCUCUACGUGGAAGCGUGGCAACACGUGAAGCGGAGGAGUACUAAUAGACCGAGGGCUUGACC
Molecule: ribosomal RNA, 1350 nt
Filed under: metagenome
Description: bacterial LSU rRNA
Rfam family: Bacterial large subunit ribosomal RNA
Source: RNAcentral